GGGUCACCAAAAGCCGCGAAAAGAAUUUUGGAUGAUCUAGACUGGACUGCAACGUGGGACACCGUUGGACAUCGCUGGACACCGUUGGACACCGUUGGACACCGUUGGCAACCGUUGGACAUCGCUGGACACCGUUGGACAUCGUUGGACACCGUUGGACACCGGGGGACAUCGUUGGACAGCGUUGGACAUCGUUGGACAUCGUUGGACAUCGUUGGACGACGUUGGACGACGUUGGACAUCGCUGGACACCGUUGGACAUCGUUGGACACCGUUGGACACCGGGGGACAUCGUUGGACGACGUUGGACGACGUUGGACACCGUUGGACAUCGUUGGACACCGGGGGACAUCGUUGGACACCGGGGGACAUCGUUGGACGACGUUGGACGACGUUGGACACCGGGGGACAUUGUUGGACGACGUUGGACACCGUUGGACACCGUUGGACGACGUUGGACGACGUUGGACACCGUUGGACAUCGUUGGACGACGUUGGACAUCGUUGGACGACGUUGGACGACUUUGGACGACGUUGGACAUCGCUGGACACCGUUGGACAUCGCUGGACACCGUUGGACACCGUUGGACACCGUUGGCAACCGUUGGACAUCGCUGGACACCGUUGGACAUCGUUGGACACCGUUGGACACCGGGGGACAUCGUUGGACAGCGUUGGACGACGUUUCACAUCGUUGGAC
RNAcentral lists this unclassified non-coding RNA (700 nucleotides) under Bombus terrestris (buff-tailed bumblebee). RNAcentral's name for it is "misc RNA ENSBTSG00005023110.1". The record is from RNAcentral. Lineage: Eukaryota; Metazoa; Arthropoda; Insecta; Hymenoptera; Apidae.